This 895-nucleotide ribosomal RNA is filed under the name uncultured soil bacterium. RNAcentral's name for it is "bacterial SSU rRNA". It matches the Rfam family "Bacterial small subunit ribosomal RNA", at positions 9 to 873 of the family's 1533-position model. The record is from RNAcentral.
AGAGUUUGAUCCUGGCUCAGAACGAACGCUGGCGGCGUGGAUAAGACAUGCAAGUCGAGCGGGACAUUUCAGGUAGCAAUAUUUGAAAUGUCUAGCGGCGCAAGGGUGCGUAACACGUGGGUAAUUUGCCAUGAAGCUGGGGACAACUCCGGGAAACCGGAGCUAAUACCGAAUGUGAACAUUUUUGGGCAUCCAGAGAUGUUUAAAGCUGGGGACCGUAAGGCCUGGCACUUCAUGAUGAGCCCGCGGCCUAUCAGCUAGUUGGUGAGGUAACGGCUCACCAAGGCUAAGACGGGUAGCUGGUCUGAGAGGACGACCAGCCACACUGGAACUGAGACACGGUCCAGACACCUACGGGUGGCAGCAGUCGAGAAUUUUUCACAAUGGGCGCAAGCCUGAUGGAGCGACGCCGCGUGGGGGAUGAAGGGCUUCGGCUCGUAAACCCCUGUCAGUUGCGAACAAAGUUCACUCAAUAACACUGGGUGGAUUGAUAGUAGUGACAGAGGAAGGGACGGCUAACUCUGUGCCAGCAGCCGCGGUAAUACAGAGGUCCCGAGCGUUGUUCGGAUUCACUGGGCGUAAAGGGUGCGUAGGCGGUUCUGAAAGUCUGAUGUGAAAUCUCCAGGCCCAACCUGGAAACUGCAUUAGAAACUACAGGGCUAGAGGCUUGGAGGGGGAACUGGAAUUCUCGGUGUAGCAGUGAAAUGCGUAGAGAUCGAGAGGAAACACCUGUGGCGAACGCGAGUUCCUGGACAAGUCCUGACGCUGAGGCACGAAAGCCAGGGGAGCAAACAGGAUUAGAUACUCUGGUAGUCCUGGCUGUAAACGGUGCACGUUUGCUGUGAGAGGAAUCGACCCCUUUCGUGGCGGAGCUAACGCGAUAAACGUGCGCCUG